RNAcentral lists this ribosomal RNA (389 nucleotides) under uncultured bacterium. Its description in RNAcentral is "bacterial SSU rRNA". It matches the Rfam family "Bacterial small subunit ribosomal RNA", at positions 28 to 417 of the family's 1533-position model. The record is from RNAcentral.
GACGAACGCUGGCGGCGUGCUUAACACAUGCAAGUCGAGCGGUAAGGCCCUUUCGGGGUACGACGAGCGGCGAACGGGUGAGUAACACGUGGGUGACCUGCCCUCAGCUCUGGGAGUAAGCCUGGGAAACCGGGUCUAAUACCGGAUAUGACUCCAUGGCGCAUGUUGUGGGGUGGAAAGCCUUGUGCGGCUGAGGAUGGGCCCGCGGCCUAUCAGCUUGUUGGUGGGGUGAUGGCCUACCAAGGCGACGACGGGUAGCCGGCCUGAGAGGGCGACCGGCCACACUGGGACUGAGACACGGCCCAGACUCCUACGGGAGGCAGCAGUGGGGAAUCUUGCGCAAUGGGCGAAAGCCUGACGCAGCGACGCCGCGUGAGGGAUGACGGCCU